RNAcentral lists this ribosomal RNA (372 nucleotides) under uncultured organism. RNAcentral describes it as "bacterial SSU rRNA". It matches the Rfam family "Bacterial small subunit ribosomal RNA", at positions 526 to 896 of the family's 1533-position model. The record is from RNAcentral.
CGGGGGGGGCAAGCGUUGUUCGGAAUUACUGGGCGUAAAGGGCUCGUAGGUGGCCAACUAAGUCGGACGUGAAAUCCCUCGGCUUAACCGGGGAACUGCGUCCGAUACUGGUUGGCUUGAGUUUGGGAGAGGGAUGCGGAAUUCCAGGUGUAGCGGUGAAAUGCGUAGAUAUCUGGAGGAACACCGGUGGCGAAGGCAGCAUCCUGGACCAAUACUGACGCUGAGGAGCGAAAGCCAGGGGAGCAAACGGGAUUAGAUACCCCGGUAGUCCUGGCCCUAAACGAUGAAUGCUUGGUGUGGCGGGUAUCGAUCCCUGCCGUGCCGAAGCUAACGCAUUAAGCAUUCCGCCUGGGGAGUACGGUCGCAAGGCUG